GACGAACGCUGGCGGCGUGCUUAACACAUGCAAGUCGAACGGAAAGGCCUGCUUUCCCUUGUGGAUUGCGGGUACUCGAGUGGCGAACGGGUGAGUAACACGUGAGUGAUCUGCCCCCAACUUGGGUAUAAGCCUGGGAAACUGGGUCUAAUUCCCGAUAGGACUGCAGGGUGGUGCCUGUGGUGGAAAACGAUUUUCUAGUGGUAGGGGAUGAGCUCGCGGCCUAUCAGCUUGUUGGUGGGGUAAUGGCCUACCAAGGCGGCGACGGGUAGCCGGCCUGAGAGGGUGGACGGCCACAUUGGGACUGAGAUACGGCCCAGACUCCUACGGGAGGCAGCAGUGGGGAAUAUUGCACAAUGGGCGGAAGCCUGAUGCAGCGACGCCGCGUGGGGGAUGACGGCCUUCGGGUUGUAAACUCCUUUCGACCGCGAGGAAGCCACCUGGUUGGAAGGGUGGUGACGGUAGUGGUAGAAGAAGCACCGGCUAACUACGUG
Molecule: ribosomal RNA, 494 nt
Filed under: uncultured bacterium
Lineage: Bacteria
Description: partial 16S ribosomal RNA
Rfam family: Bacterial small subunit ribosomal RNA
Source: RNAcentral